AGUGGCGAACGGGUGCGUAACACGUAGGUGACCUGCCCUGGGGAGGGGGACAACGGCUGGAAACGGCCGCUAAUACCCCAUGAGCUCAUACGAUCGAAGGGAUGAGUUAAGGCGGAAGCCGCCCUGGGAGGGGCCUGCGGCCUAUCAGGUAGUUGGUGAGGUAACGGCUCACCAAGCCGACGACGGGUAGCUGGUCUGAGAGGAUGACCAGCCACACGGGGACUGAGACACGGCCCCGACUCCUACGGGAGGCAGCAGUGAGGAAUAUUGCACAAUGGGGGAAACCCUGAUGCAGCGACGCCGCGUGGGCGAUGAAGGCCUUCGGGUCGUAAAGCCCUUUUCUCGGGGAAGAGUGAGGACGGUACCCGAGGAAUAAGUCUCGGCUAACUACGUGCAAGCAGCCGCGGUAAACGUACGAGGCAAGCGUAUCGAGUACUGGGCGUAAAGGGCGUCUAGGCGCAUCUAAGUCUUGUGUGAAAGCUCUCGGCUCAUGAGAGAGGCCGCAAGAAACUAGAAGGCUUGAGGGCAGGAGAGGCUGGUGGAAUUCCCGGUGUAGUGGUGAAAUGCGUAAAGAUCGGGAGGAACACCCGUGGCGAAAGCGGCCAGCUGGCCUGCACCUGACGCUGAAGCGCGAAAGCGUGGGGAGCGAACGGGAUUAGAUACCCCGGUAGUCCACGCCGUAAACGAUGACGACUAGGUGUGGGCGGCGUAAAACCCGUCCGUGCCGCAGCAAACGCGAUAAGUCGUCCGCCUGGGGACUACGGCCGCAAGGCUAAAACUCAAAGGAAUUGACGGGGGCCCGCACAAGCAGCGGAGCGUGUGGUUUAAUUCGAUGCGACGCGAAAAACCUUACCAGGGCUUGACAUGGUGGUGGUACUGAGCCGAAAGGCGAGGGACCCGCAAGGGAGCCAUCACAGGUGCUGCAUGGCUGUCGUCAGUUCGUGCCGUGAGGUGUUGGGUUAAGUCCCGCAACGAGCGCAACCCCCGUUGCCCGUCUUAGAUGUCUGGCGAGACUGCCCCCGCAAGGGGGAGGAAGGUGGGGAUGACGUCAAGUCAGCAUGGCCCUUAUGUCCUGGGCGACACACACGCUACAAUGGCCGGCACAAUGGGUAGCGAAGCGGCGACGCGGAGCAAAUCCUUGUAAUGCCGGUCUCAGUUCGGAUUGGAGUCUGCAACCCGACUCCAUGAAGGCGGAGUUGCUAGUAACCGCCGGUCAGCCAUACGGCGGUGAAUACGUUCCCGGGCCUUGUACACACCGCCCGUCACGUCAUGGGAGUGGGCAACACCUGAAGUCGGUGGGGUAACCGCAAGGAGCCAGCCG
RNAcentral lists this ribosomal RNA (1321 nucleotides) under uncultured bacterium. RNAcentral describes it as "bacterial SSU rRNA". It matches the Rfam family "Bacterial small subunit ribosomal RNA", at positions 94 to 1455 of the family's 1533-position model. The record is from RNAcentral.